AGAACUGGAGAGAGGAAGCGCAA
Molecule: non-coding RNA, 23 nt
Filed under: Cricetulus griseus (Chinese hamster)
Lineage: Eukaryota; Metazoa; Chordata; Mammalia; Rodentia; Cricetidae
Source: RNAcentral